Molecule: unclassified non-coding RNA, 277 nt
Filed under: Hevea brasiliensis (rubber tree)
Lineage: Eukaryota; Viridiplantae; Streptophyta; Magnoliopsida; Malpighiales; Euphorbiaceae
Source: RNAcentral
GCCGCUGGCAGCCAUCAGCAAUUACAUGAAGGGCUCACGCCGCCUGUUGACCUCGAGUGAAGACCCGAAUGCUGUCAAAAUCGCCACAGCCAUGGAUCGCGCAGCGGAACAAGCUCUUCGUGCGGGACAGAUUAUACGGCGUCUUCGCGAUUUCGUGAAGCGCGGAGAAUCCGAAAGGCGCGUCGAAAGCCUUUCGAAGCUGAUUGAAGAAGCCGGCGCGCUUGGCCUAACGGGCGCCAGGGAACAGGGUAUCUUGUUGCGCUUCAAUCUGAACCCC